UUUCGUAUGCUUUAUAUUCUUUGUAAAUGAAUUAAUGAAUUUGUUUCUCUUAAAAAUCAAACUAACCCCAAAUAAUUUUGUUUCCCCACCGUUUGCCGCGGCAGUAACACCAUUUCACCGUCGCAUCACGCGUUUUGUCGCGGUCAUUUCUGUGACUUUUUGAGUGAAAAUGGUAGUAGAGAAUACGAGAAUCAUCAUGUUGGAUUUGGAAUACAUGGCUGAAUAUGUGUCAUCUGUUUAUAUAAGAAACUGCUCUUGUAAAAGGAUGCGAGCAUGCUUACUGAUAUGGAUCAGUGGAAGUGUCUUUUCUUGUGAAACUAAUUUAGCUUAGGGGACAUACCGCGUCUUUGAGGUUGCAAGAUGCAAAACCCCUUUGGAUUUGAAUCAUGAACAAUUGACAAGCUCAUCUAUACCAGUAGCUGAAAUUCAACUUUUACUUAAACGGUGGAAAUGGUAGUAUAGAAGAAGAAAAUCAUCAUGUUGGAUUUGGAAAGGAUGGCAGAAAGUGUCAUCUGUUUGUAUAGGAAACUGUUCUUGUAAAAAAAGGUUGCAAACAUGCUUACUGUGUAACAUGCAUCCUUCAUUGGGCCACAUACAGUCAGAAAGUUACCCGCCCUCAGUGCAAACAUCCAUUUGAGUUCCUAACUGUUAUCGCACAUUUGAUGAAAGUAUUCAAGAUUGAGGAAAGUGUUCGCCUACUACUUUGAGCCAAGUGGUUCAAGCCUUUAACUGUUGAAGAGUGUUCGAUUGAUUAAAGAUAUCAAUGAAGAAAAAGAAGACCACUAUUAUAAAUAUGAAGAAGCUAAUGGUGAUCUAGAUGAUGAGAUUUACUAUGCUGGUUCGGCUAGUGUUUGGAUUGGCAACAGUAGCUUGGGAGACAACACUUAUGCUGGUUCCAGGACUCAGGAGCAAGUUUAUCAUGCGAGCCAAAAAAGAAAGACCAAAAGCAUUCAAAACGUAUGACAGGGAGACGAGGGAAGAAGGCACUGAAAAGGGAAGCAGCUGAAGCAAAACAGCAGCAAUAUUUGGCAAGGUUUAAUAGGAACUGAUUCUAAUUUAAUUCAUUCAACCGAAGAAUCCUUCCUUGAAGUUAAAUAUUUUUUUUUCUUUAUUUACAUUUUCUUACAUAUUUUUUUUUACUUGUACAAUGUUUCUGUGCUAUGUGAAGCAUGUGAUAGAAUGUGGGGAAGCUGUUUUAGAAUAAUGGCUUUGUUGGUGGAAUCCUUAACUCACGGUGUCAUUGCACAAUUUAGGCUUUCAAUAAGGUGUCAAUGCAUCUCUAAGCUGUACAUAAUGUCCUUGUGAUGACUUAAGAAUUGUACAGAUUUAA
Long non-coding RNA from Medicago truncatula (barrel medic), 1330 nucleotides. RefSeq lists it as uncharacterized. The record is from RefSeq and is a predicted model, not a curated record. The transcript is spliced from 6 exons. Lineage: Eukaryota; Viridiplantae; Streptophyta; Magnoliopsida; Fabales; Fabaceae.